RNAcentral lists this ribosomal RNA (429 nucleotides) under Acidobacteriota bacterium. RNAcentral describes it as "Acidobacteria bacterium partial 16S ribosomal RNA". It matches the Rfam family "Bacterial small subunit ribosomal RNA", at positions 355 to 776 of the family's 1533-position model. Lineage: Bacteria; Pseudomonadati; Acidobacteriota. The record is from RNAcentral.
UGGGGAAUUUUGGACAAUGGGGGAAACCCUGAUCCUGCCAUCCCGCGUGUGCGAUGAAGGCCUUCGGGUUGUAAAGCACUUUUGGCAGGAAAGAAACGUCAUGGGUUAAUACCCCGUGAAACUGACGGUACCUGCAGAAUAAGCACCGGCUAGCUACGUGCCAGCAGCCGCGGUAAUACGUAGGGUGCAAGCGUUAAUCGGAAUUACUGGGCGUAAAGCGUGCGCAGGCGGUUCGGAAAGAAAGAUGUGAAAUCCCAGAGCUCAACUUUGGAACUGCAUUUUUAACUACCGGGCUAGAGUGUGUCAGAGGGAGGUGGAAUUCCGCGUGUAGCAGUGAAAUGCGUAGAUAUGCGGAGGAACACCGAUGGCGAAGGCAGCCUCCUGGGAUAACACUGACGCUCAUGCACGAAAGCGUGGGGAGCAAACAGG